CCUAAGGUAGCGAAAUUCCUUGUCGGGCAAGUUCCGACCUGCACGAAUGGCAUAACGAUGGCCACACUGUCUCCUCCUGAGACUCAGUGAAGUUGAAGUGUUUGUGAUGAUGCAAUCUCCCCGCGGCUAGACGGAAAGACCCCAUGAACCUUUACUGUAGCUUUGCAUUGGACUUUGAACCGAUCUGUGUAGGAUAGGCGGGAGCCUGUGAAACCACAACGCCAGUUGUGGCGGAGGCGUCCUUGAAAUACCGCCCUGAUUUGUUUGAGGUUCUAACCUGGGACAGUCAUCCUGUCCGGGGACCGUGCAUGGUAGGCAGUUUGACUGGGGCGGUCGCCUCCUAAAGGGUAACGGAGGAGUGCGAAGGUACGCUAGGUACGGUCGGAAAUCGUGCUGAUAGUGCAAUGGCAAAAGCGUGCUUGACUGCGAGACCCACAAGUCGAGCAGAUACGAAAGUAGGUCAUAGUGAUCCGGUGGCUCUGUAUGGAAGGGCCAUCGCUCAACGGAUAAAAGGUACUCUGGGGAUAACAGGCUGAUACCGCCCAAGAGUUCAUAUCGACGGCGGUGUUUGGCACCUCGAUGUCGGCUCAUCUCAUCCUGGGGCUGUAGCCGGUCCCAAGGGUAUGGCUGUUCGCCAUUUAAAGAGGUACGUGAGCUGGGUUUAAAACGUCGUGAGACAGUUUUGUCCCUAUCUGCCGUGGGCGCUGGAAGAUUGACGGGGGCUGCUCCUAGUACGAGAGGACCGGAGUGGACUCACCUCUGGUGUACCGGUUGUCACGCCAGUGGCAUCGCCGGGUAGCUAUGUGGGGAAGAGAUAACCGCUGAAAGCAUCUAAGCGGGAAACUUGCCUGAAGAUAAGUCUUCCUGGAGGCUAGACCUCCCUAAAGAGUCGUUCGAGACCAGGACGUUGAUAGGAUGGGUGUGUAAGUGCUGUGAGGCACUCAGCUAACCAUUACUAAUUGCUCGUGAAGCUUGAUCCU
Molecule: ribosomal RNA, 980 nt
Filed under: human gut metagenome
Description: bacterial LSU rRNA
Rfam family: Bacterial large subunit ribosomal RNA
Source: RNAcentral